This 700-nucleotide ribosomal RNA is filed under the name Brevilegnia megasperma. Its description in RNAcentral is "LSU rRNA". It matches the Rfam family "Eukaryotic large subunit ribosomal RNA", at positions 43 to 642 of the family's 3401-position model. Lineage: Eukaryota; Oomycota; Saprolegniomycetes; Saprolegniales; Achlyaceae. The record is from RNAcentral.
UCAAUAAGCGGAGGAAAAGAAACUAACAAGGAUUCCCCUAGUAACGGCGAGUGAAGCGGGAAGAGCUCAAGCUUAAAAUCUCCAUACUUUUGUAUGGCGAAUUGUAGUCUAUAGAAGCGCUAUCAGCAUAGCAAUAUGGGAUAAGUCCCUUGGAAAAGGGUAGCAUAGAGGGUGAUACUCCCGUCUUUGCCCAGGUUGUCUAUGUGUACGAUACGUUUUCUUUGAGUCGAGUUGUUUGGGAAUACAGCUCAAAGUAGGUGGUAAAUUCCAUCUAAAGCUAAAUAUUGGUGCGAGACCGAUAGCGAACAAGUACCGUGAGGGAAAGAUGAAAAGAACUUUGAAAAGAGAGUUAAAGAGUACCUGAAACUGUUGAAAGGGAACCGUAACAUAUCCAGUGUUGUAUCUCUUAUAUAUUUCACUAGUACAGCAAUGCACUGGUGCCCUGUAUAGGAGUGUGACGUCAAAGUCAGUUUGUAUAUUGCGGGAGAUGGUUUGUAAGGAGGUGUGUCACUUUUGUGUCAGUUAUACCUUAUAAACUAGUUGCCGUGGUUGAGACUGAGGUGCCUACAACAUGCUUAUCGAGUCUAUGUGUAUCUCGUUGUUAUACUUGUUUGGAUAGCUUGCUAUGCUAAUGAACUAUAAUGGCGAUUGAUAUAUGUAGUUACUUGUUGCUGUUCGGGACUUUGACGAAAUGGAAUGU